Molecule: ribosomal RNA, 254 nt
Filed under: uncultured bacterium
Lineage: Bacteria
Description: partial 16S ribosomal RNA
Rfam family: Bacterial small subunit ribosomal RNA
Source: RNAcentral
UACGUAGGGUGCGGGCGUUGUCCGGAAUUAUUGGGCGUAAAGAGCUCGUAGGCGGUGUGUCGCGUCGGCCGUGAAAACCUGGGGCUUAACUCUGGGCGUGCGGUCGAUACGGGCAUCACUAGAGUUCGGCAGGGGAGACUGGAAUUCCUGGUGUAGCGGUGAAAUGCGCAGAUAUCAGGAGGAACACCGGUGGCGAAGGCGGGUCUCUGGGCCGAUACUGACGCUGAGGAGCGAAAGCAUGGGGAGCAAACAGG